Molecule: ribosomal RNA, 274 nt
Filed under: uncultured bacterium
Lineage: Bacteria
Description: partial 16S ribosomal RNA
Rfam family: Bacterial small subunit ribosomal RNA
Source: RNAcentral
AUACGGAGGGUGCAAACGUUGUUCGGAAUUACUGGGCGUAAAGCGCGCGUAGGCGGUUUGCUAAGUCAGAUGUGAAAGUCCACAGCUCAACUGUGGAAGUGCAUUUGAAACUGGCAGACUUGAGUACUGGAGGGGGUGGUGGAAUUCCCGGUGUAGAGGUGAAAUUCGUAGAUAUCGGGAGGAAUACCGGUGGCGAAGGCGACCACCUGGCCAGAUGCUGACGCUGAGGUGCGAAAGCGUGGGGAGCAAACAGGAUUAGAAACCCUAGUAGUCC